This 31-nucleotide non-coding RNA is filed under the name Mus musculus (house mouse). Lineage: Eukaryota; Metazoa; Chordata; Mammalia; Rodentia; Muridae. The record is from RNAcentral.
UCUCAAAAAAGGAGCCGAAGUUUGGACAACC